AAAUAAUUGAUAACACUAUCAGGAAAACAAUCCCAUGGACCACUUGGUUACUAAUUAAAAAAGACUAAUGAUUCUCAAUUUCAAUUGCUAUUCCUUCAGGAGAAAAUGAAGGAAGAUAUCAACGUUGCAACAGUUACUUUCCAUCAACAAUUGCUCAUUUAUUUUACCUCCUACAGCUGUGGUAGUAUGCACAACACAGUGGUUUCUCCUCGGCAUCAGUUCAAAAGAAGCUCAAAAACAAAUGAAAGAAAAUACGAGUUCCAUGUCUGAAGUGAGGAGAUUAAGGGAUACUGGACAACUCAUCUCUGAAGAAACUUCAGAGAGCUUUAUUUUUGGCAGCUGGACGGUUGUUCCAAUAGUGCUGUGCAGCUUGCUGGAUGGAGGAGGAUAUUGACUGAUGUGACACCUGCUUGCUGUGAGUCUUACUCUGGUUCCUCUGCAACUUCUCUACAGUGUUACAAAAUAAAGUUGAUGGCACAGGACCUCAGUUUUGAAGUUAAUGUUUGGUGCCUGGGACAUCUCAAAAUUCAAGAGCUGAACUUUUUGGGAUGAAAAUCUUCGGAGAGAAUCAGGCAUUGAUCUAUUAUUUUCUUAGUCAGAGCUUCCACCAUGAGGCUGCCAAAGAAAUAAAUGUCACCUUCUUCACUUUCUUCAGAUGCAGUUUUUGGAAGUGAUAACUGGAACUGCAGUCUGUGAUAUAUAAAAUAUAAGUGUACAUUGGAUUGAGCUCCCGAAAAGGAUUUUGGUAAUGGGAUGUCCUGUUUCUGGAUCCUGUUUAGGCAAUGGGAUUUAGGAUGCUCUACCUAUUAAGAUAGAUACUGUUGCAAUGCAUAUACAGAAAUGAAAUUUUAUGAUUUAGUUCUGAACAACAUUGAGGCACUGAGGUAUAAUCAGCUAGUAAUAGUUGAAAGCAUUGUUUUUCAGAGUAACAGAUUUGUAUUCAAAUAUAUGAAUUCUAACCCACUCCCACUUUGAGUGAUUUGCUAUCUGAGUGAGCAGCAGGAAAUCUUGCAGAUAUUUUUCACUGCAGCAUCCUGAAGAAGCUCAUACUAUUUUCUUUUUUUGUCGUCUUCUUGGUUUUACAGACAUAAUAUAUCCCUAUAUGUUUCUCCAGCAGAACUACAGAUGUCUCCCAUUACUUUUCUACAGCAACAUGGGUUAGAGCUUUCUCUAUAUGAAAAAAAAAAAAAAAAAUGCUAUAAGCCUCAUUUUCACAGUGGUUAUAAUGAUUGUCUUCAAUAGGGCAAUCCUUGCUGCAAGCAUUUCACGACAGUCUCAGUGAGCACAACGCAAAGUCUUUUAAUGCCUCAUCUUCAGGGUGUGGUAAGAUGAUGGGUAUUACAUGAUGCCUAGAAAGAAAUACCUAAUUUUGACCUUUUCAUUGUUUUCAUUAGGAAGGAAGCAAACAAAAAUAUUCUUUUUCUUUUUCCUUUUCCUUUUCCUUUUCCUUUUCCUUUUCCUUUUCCUUUUCCUUUUCCUUUUCCUUUUCCUUUUCCUUUUCCUUUUCCUUUUCCUUUUCCUUUUCCUUUUCCUUCUCCUUCUCCUUCUCCUUCUCCUUCUCCUUCUCCUUCUCCUUCUCCUUCUCCUUCUCCUUCUCCUUCUCCUUCUCUUUCUUUUUCCUUUUCCUUUUUCUCUUUAAAUAAUAACCUGGAAGUAUGGUUGUGCAAAAGCAGAAAUUUUGUUCAAAGAAAGAUUUCCUUUGAGCAAAAAGUACAUUUUAAAGAAAUAAAUUUGACCAUUUUUAGUAACUUACAUGAAAGAAAGAAGAGCUACUGUGAACAGGAAUUCUGAAUUUUUAUGAAUGCCAAUGGUGCUGCUAAAUUAAAAUUUUUCAACUUUUUCCCUUAGUUGGAUCAAAUGUGUUUAAAUUUAUAAAUUAGUAACCAGUUAUUUACAGACAACAAUUUGAAAAUAAAUCAGAGAAAACCAGUAGCAUUUGCCUCAGUACUACUAGAAAGACUGAAUGUAUACCUAGUCACAUUAAGAAAACAGUUACAAGGACCUACAAAACUCAUGCUGACAUUUAGACAGAAAGAACAUAAGCAUCUUUAGGCAAACAAAUUAGUAAGUCUAGCUAUGAAUAGUAAAGCCUCCCACACUAUCUCUGAAUCAGUUACCAACUUGCCUAGUAUAUAUCUGAUGGGCAGCCAAAUGGGAUGUUAUAGAAUGAGCAGCAAACCCUUGAAUAAAAAGUGGACACCCAAGGUGCCAUUUUGAUUAGUAUCUAUCUAUUAAGAUAGUUAGAGGUUUUUUCCUCUUUAAGCUGAUGUAACAUCAGAGAAAGAAGUCUUUGACUUGACCAGAAAUCCUUGACUUGGUUCUUAGAAACCUGAGGAGCACUAGAGUUUAGGCUGGAGAUAUGAAACUUUUUGUGGAAAACUACCACUAUUCUAUCAGAACUUAGCAAAAAAUUCAUUUUGUCAUGUUGAGUGGUGAAUUUUUUGUCCUAACACAUACAGGUUUUGGAAAGCUAUAAAGAAGAAACUUCACUCAACCCAGCUUGCUCCAUCAGUCUAGGAAAAAGCUAUUAGUGUGAAAAGAAAUUCCAAAAGUUUUAGGAGUUGAGAUUCACCUAAAAAUUUAUAUCUGCUAAGUAGAGUGAAAAUUUGAGGAGGAGUACAACUGAAAAGCAGGAACGCAAAUAAAUGUUAUUUCUGUAGAAGUUCAUGGGACUUUUGCUUGCAUGGAAGCCCAAAAGAGUCUGUAGAAUGUUGCCAGUACAUUCAGAAUAAAAUAGGAAUUUUAGAAAAGCAGAAGGAUUUGGCAAUGUCAUGUCCAGGAAUGAAGAAUAAUCAGAAUAAAUUAAGUAGGUCAUGGGAUGGACAGACUCAUAUAAUUACAAUGAAAUCAUAAUAUAAAUCAUUGGAGAACCAGCAGUGGUAAACACUGUUAGGUGGUUUUUUUUAUUGUUGUUUUUUGUGUAUGUGUGUUUGUUUUUGUGGUUUGUUUUUUUUUUCACUGAGGUAGCCAUAUUACAAGCAGGCAGCAUGAAUUACUUUAUUGAAUAUUCAAAGAUGUUUUGAAUACCCUGUAACUUCUUAUGAGAUUAUCAACCACCAUUUUCAGAUGUGCCUUAGGUCACUAAAAUGAUACACAGGACAUCAUUAUGCUUCCUAAAUGAUCUCAAUGCAGCAAUUUCAAUACAGUAGUUUGAUAACCAAUUAAGUGGCAUUCUAAACAUUUUAAGUUUUUCAUAUUUUCAAAAAAUCUCAGUAAGUGAAUAGUGCUAUGUAGUCAAUUUUUAACCCUCACGUGUAAUGACUGGUAAAGGAAGAUGAUUAAAAUCAACCUGGAAUGGUUUGGAUGUGCAAAAAUGUCAAAAUAUCAUGAGAUUAUGUACAGUCUUUAACUAAUGGACCAGUAAUUUGUAGUGAGAGUCAUGAGGCCUUCUGUUAUACAGACCUUUUGUUGAUUUGUCAGGGGAAAACUUUCUUCAGUACUUUUCUUGUAUGAUAUAAAUAAUCAUCACAGGUAGCAGUAAAUAAUUCUUGACUCUAGUUACCUAAAUGAACUUACUGAAACUUAGUGAAACAUCUGUAACAACACUUAGCAGCACUUGCAAAGAAAUCUUGUGCAGUAGUAGCAAAGGGAAACAGCAAUAUUUAGUCUGACAAGCUUUAACUCCAGUCACUGUCAGCCCAUUUUCAAAGGAAAAAAUUGCAGUCUGACUCAGGAUAAAUAUUAUAUGGACUGCUUUGUGGUAAAUCAUUCAUAAAGAAAGGUAGACUGUUCACCAAGAUUAUCUUUCUGAUUCAAAUGUAGCAAAAUGUUAGAUUUUACUUGGGCUCAUUUGUUUUCCUGAAAGACAUUUGAAUAAGCAAAAACCUGUAGAUCUCUCUCUUCUGGUUCCUUUGUUGAGGCAAUAGCUACCACACACAAAGGGACUGUAUAGGCAGGAUAAAGGCAGCUUUAAUACCCUGCACAGUUCCCAACAGCUGGAUGUAGUGUGCAGCUCUGCCAACAAGUCUGUGUAAGCCCAGCAGCACAAAUGAGGUGGUGACACACCAGCAACAACUGCUCUUUGGAAUGUACUCACCAUCAGUUUACUGGAAACAUCUUCCAGCUCCACUGGUCUCCCUUUAGUUUUUGGAUACCUUCCUAGAGCCUUUCUAUUUAACCCCUGAAUCCCUGAACUGCAGACAGUCUUACAUUGACUCACUUACUUUUGCUUGCAGUUUUACUUUUCUUAUCUCACUGGGUUUCCAUCCAUAUAUUUUCUUACAGUUUCCUCAGCAGGAAUGCAGCUUUCCCAGAUGUUUGUGUUGAGUUUACACAGUUAUGCCAGGUCAUUGCUUGGCUGUGGAUCAGGGAGCAUUGAUCAUUCAGAAGGGAGGUUGCCAAUCUGACAGGUGACAGAUCUGCCAGCUCUUCCCAGAAAGAGACUGAGAACCGACAGGAGGAAAUCGAAUGCACUUUAAAUCUGAAAUCUGUCAUCAGAGUAGCAGUCUUCACAAACUCAACUUUUCAAAGAAGGAAAUGUAUAUUUGCACAUUUUUAUAAUACCUAGUAUAAUAGGCCUUUAAUUUUCACUGAGGCCUCUGAAGUGUUGUGUUAUAAAUAUUUCAUAAUCAUGUAGCUGUGUCUCCAUCUCUGUGUACAUCGUCUUCAAACAAGCAGGAAAUAUUGCUGUUUAUCAUGCCCAGCAGCCACUUAAUAUGUGUAACAGGAUGGGCUUUAGUACAGCAGGCUAUCUGAUCACCCCUGUGGAUAAUUUACUGCUGUUUUUCUUCAGUCAGCCAUUCUCUUAACUGAAAAGGGGUGCAGGGGAGACUUAUUCCACUGUAAGGAGUGGAUUUGUAUUAGCUACAUGAAGCCUUGUUUAAACUUGCAGAAGAGUAUUGACACUAUCAAGUCAGAUGCCUGGAUGUCAAGUAUAAGUCCCUUAUAUAAUGACUGAAGCGUCCAGAAUGUAAUUCAGUACAUUUUGAAAAAUGUCAAUGCUUUAGAUUUAAGUUGUACUGAGGAACAACCAUAUGCUACAUUUAAAUAAACUUAAAAUCAGUUUAUAAGCAUUGUAUAAGGGUUCUAUAAGAAUAAGAAUGAAGGCUUAAAUGUGCCUUGCAACAUUACUUCUCUGACAGAUUAUUGAGCUGUACAUAAGAAUGCUUGUUUAGAUACGUGUAUAUAGAGAGACAGAGAGUGCUAUCCUAAACCGUAGAAGGUGUAAUGUCAGUUUUUGAUAGUCCACAGGAAGAUUACACAUUAAAUAUUGUAGAGAGAGAGAGAGACACUGUUAUUUCACGAGCGAUUUGAAAUCAGAUAAUGUCUGUAAAACGCUGAACUAUAUAUGUAUGGAGAUAUUAUACAUAUGUAAUAUGCUUAUUGUAUAUGCAUGCAAACACUUAAAUGUAUCAAUACGUAGAUGCAUUUUAUAUAAAUUAUUUAUAUACUUAUAUAUAUACACUGUGAUAUGAUCACUGCUGCCUCAGGGCAGCUGCCUACAUUCUCUAGGAAAGCAAAUUAUCUCUAGUACAAUACAUCUAUUAGUUAAUUACAGUAUUUGCAUACUUGAUUAUAAAAUAUAUAAAGUAUUUCUAGAUUUGAGAAUUCAUAGACUUUGAGUAGCUUAGUUUAUAAGUGCUCCAUAUUACCUAUGUUAUGUUAGAAUGGCACACUGGAAUGGGAAGAGGACAAAUGAAAUUAAAACAUUAAAUUUAUUACAGUUAUAAAAAUAUGUACACUUUUUAUACAACAAAUAAUUAGACGGUGAAACACCUUGUCGAAAAAUUGUGGAUAAUUGCCUAGUAGGAUGAAAACAGCUGAAUAUAAGUGAGUAAUUAUUAUACCCUGCGGAAUUGCAUUAACUAAACAAACAAUUUAUAAUGGAUAUCAAUAGUCAUUCUAUAUAAUAUAAGCUUACCUGCUUAACAAACUAGAAGAAACAUUCCCUACAGACAAGCAUUUGCAUAAUCCUCAAUUAGGUAUUUGGAGAGGCAUAAAUUUUAAGGCCAAGAGAGAUUGUUAAGAUCAUGUCACCUGACCUUUGAAUAAGCAUGUGCAGCAGAAUGCUGUUAAGUCAUUCCUGACUCAGCCCUUGGUUACCAGCUUUAUUUUAGGAAGAAGAAUUUUAAACUGUUUUCUUUCUAGUUUCAGAUUCUAACUUCUUAUUGGAAAGCUGCUGGAGACCUUUUCUUGCUAUGCUGUUAUUUGGAGUGAAUAAAGAAUCUUUUCUACUUUCAGCUCAGUAUUUGUGCAGCAUGUUUUCAAGUAUGACAAAUGAGCAGGAAGAAAUUGAGCUAGGAACAUCCUAGCUCCUAGGCUGUGUGUCCUGAUCAUGCCCCAGGUGUGUAUGAAAUGAGAACUCCUUCUAGGUGUGUACCAGUUUUCUGUUUCCUUUUCUGCCCCGUGUCCAUCUCCAUCGAUCAUCUCACACUCUGUGUUCCAGUAUUCUUAAAAUUAAGCCUAGGAAUAUGUGCUAGAACAGAGCCAAGUCAUGCAAGAUAAACAACUCCCUGCAAAUGUAUGCUUUAUUUAAAGGUCAGAAUUAGUAAUCAGCCCUUGCAGAUUUCGAAGAUUUUUAUCCUGGCAUGCUAUAGCAUACAUUUCAGGCUCCAGCUGAACUAUGAGCAGACAAGCUCAGGCCUUUUUAAAGAUUUUUUUAAGAUUUUUUCAAAAUCUUUAAAAAUGUGAAAACUCAGCAAGAAAAUCAAUGUUCAGUUCUGCCUAGAUUUCAAUUGAAGCUUCAUGUACACUUCAUUUCAGCAAGGUAAUCCUAAAGGGAUAAAAGUGUAGUGAUUCUUUUGUCACAACAAUUUCAAGAUCAGGCAGAAUAGAAUAAACAUGUCUUGGACUGUGCUGCUUUCUGACUGCUAAAACCAAAAUCUUUUAAUCCAGCCUUAGUGUCAAACUGAAGAAGGGUCUUCCUUUAAAAUCUUUGCUGCUUCUGCCAGCUUUUUCCUGCUCUUGUAUUCCAGCAC
This 6917-nucleotide long non-coding RNA is filed under the name Gallus gallus (chicken). Its description in RNAcentral is "lncRNA (ENSGALG00010010757.1)". Lineage: Eukaryota; Metazoa; Chordata; Aves; Galliformes; Phasianidae. The record is from RNAcentral.